RNAcentral lists this ribosomal RNA (396 nucleotides) under uncultured bacterium. Its description in RNAcentral is "bacterial SSU rRNA". It matches the Rfam family "Bacterial small subunit ribosomal RNA", at positions 28 to 428 of the family's 1533-position model. The record is from RNAcentral.
GACGAACGCUGGCGGCGUGCUUAACACAUGCAAGUCGAGCGGUAAGGCCCUUUCGGGGGUACACGAGCGGCGAACGGGUGAGUAACACGUGGGUGACCUGCCUUUAGCUCUGGGAUAAGCCUGGGAAACUGGGUCUAAUACCGGAUAUGACUCCGCGGUGCAUGCUGUGGGGUGGAAAGCCUUGUGCGGCUGGAGAUGGGCCCGCGGCCUAUCAGCUUGUUGGUGGGGUGANGGCCUACCAAGGCGACGACGGGUAGCCGGCCUGAGAGGGCGACCGGCCACACUGGGACUGAGACACGGCCCAGACUCCUACGGGAGGCAGCAGUGGGGAAUCUUGCGCAAUGGGCGAAAGCCUGACGCAGCGACGCCGCGUGAGGGAUGACGGCCUGGUUGUAA